Non-coding RNA from Corylus avellana, 424 nucleotides. The record is from RefSeq and is a predicted model, not a curated record. Lineage: Eukaryota; Viridiplantae; Streptophyta; Magnoliopsida; Fagales; Betulaceae.
UCUGCUUCACUUUUCUUGAUUUAGACCGAUCCAUUUAGCUUAUUAGGUUUGAUCAGCAGCUCCUUGUUUUAAGAUAUAUAUGUUUAUGUUGUCUAUUGUCUAAUUCCCACUAAUUAUUUCUUUGUUUUUGAUCUGUCUAUAAUAGAGGCAAAUUUUAUUACGUGGAUGUGAAUAAGGUACCUCAAGCUCUAGUGAAGCGUGGAAACAUCUCUAAGAUGCCAACAAUUCAGCUAUGGAAAGAUGGAGAGAUGAAAGCAGAAGUAAUUGGAGGGCAUAAGGCAUGGCUUGUGAUCGAUGAAGUUAGAGAAAUGAUCCAAAAGUUUGUCUAAUGAUCCAAAUUUCUUGUAUAUAGGCUUUUUUUUUUCUGCUCUUUUAUCAUGCAGUCAUGCGUACAUCAUAUAUAUAGCAGAGCAAUAUUUCGUUU